RNAcentral lists this long non-coding RNA (1676 nucleotides) under Sus scrofa (pig). RNAcentral describes it as "lncRNA (ENSSSCG00060005638.1)". Lineage: Eukaryota; Metazoa; Chordata; Mammalia; Artiodactyla; Suidae. The record is from RNAcentral.
GCCGCUCCUGCGGCCAAUAGAGGUUCCCAGGCUAGGGGUCUAAUCGGAGCUGUAGCCACCAGCCUUCCCCAGAGCCACAGCAAGUCCAAGCCACGUCUGCGACCCACACCACAGUUCGCCCCAACGCCAGAUCUUUAACCCCCUGAGCAAGGUCAGGGAUGGAACCUGCAACCUCAUGGUUUUUAGUCGGAUUCGUUAACCACUGCACAACAACGGGAACUCCAAGGGGAGAGGAAGUGGGUUAUGAUUCUCCCUUGGCUGGAACCCUGGUCCUGCUUAAGGCACUGAAGAUGGUUCCUGAGUUCCCUGGUCUGAUAGACCAUUCCCUUCCCCACAUAUUCCUCCAUACCCCACCCCAGGCUGAAAGACACGGAUAUGAGGCCCAGGGGGUGAUGUCUGAGAGAGAAAAUGUCUGUCGCACAAACUAAGACGACCUCGAGUUACAGAUCCAAACAAAUGUAGUGACAACUGAAGGGCUGAAUGUACCACUCAAGUAUUCGGGGACCCUCCGCAAGGAGAUGGUUUCCUUUAAAGACCCGGUUUCCUUUAAAGACCCCGGUUUCCUUUAAAGACCCAUCCUUUAAGGAUGGGAUUACUUAGGGUACACCUCCCACAAAUAAAGGGUUUAAAGGUCUGGGCAGACCUCGUCCCUCCCUCGUCGUCCAUCCCUUGUUAGGGACGAGACCCAAUCUCAUUGCCCUUCCCAACCUCACUCCAGGGUUCCAAGGAGGGAGCGAGAGAGGAACCUAGACGGCUGCAUCCCUUCCUCACUAUCCCAGGUUGAGUGAUCCCUGGGGAACAAAAUCGCCGUCCCAAAUCUUACCUCGCAAGGGCGUCUCCUGCGCGUUCUUCAGGUAUUUGCGGAGCUACCUGAUCCCCUCUCCCUCCGGGCAGGCGCUCCGGACUUUGCAAUAGGCAUCUCCCUUGAAGCCUGGUGGGGGAGGGGUUUCGAGCCGCAGUGUCGCUUCUGUUCAGUCUCUAGGCCCGGGUGCAAGCAUUUUCACCAGAGCUGCUGCGGGGGGUGGGGGUGGGCGGAGAAGCUAGGCUCAUCAAGUGACCCUCUGCGAACCGCCGCACUGGAAAAAAUGCCCCCUGGGCAUCCGCCUCCAGGGUCGCAGCGGGAGCCCUCUGGCCCCACCCACCUCAGGGCCAGAAGCUAUGAUUGGCUCGCUGGAACGCCAAUCAGAGCUCGGCGCUCUGGGGCCGGAGAAACGCGGCACCACCUUCCGGCUAUAAGAGCUGCUGGGUUCUUCUCUGAGCUCCGCCAGGGUAGCGGGUUCCUAAAAGUCCCUCUGAGGGUUCCGCGGUGACCUGAUGUCCAGCCCUCAGUCGCCUCCCCCAGGAUUCUCCCAGCUUGUCUGCGCUGAUUCCGGGGCUCCGCUUCCCUUCCGCCAGGUUCAGCCCGCGAGCUCGGCCCUCCCACCUGUGAGGUGCCUGGUGCCCAGGCGGGGAUGCGGGCGGCGGACCGAAACCCGGACCGAGAGUCCCCGAGCCUCGCCACCUGACCGCACCUCUCCAGGACUCUGGGCCCGGCUUCUUGUAAACUACCCGCUCCUCAUAGACCCUGAACGGCUGCCAGCCGGAGAGUUAUUCAACUGCAGGGAGGAAAGGUGAGCAAGGUGGGCGAAGGAGAGAGAGGAACAAAAGAAGGCAGAAUGAAGGCAGGGUUGGAAGAG